Molecule: long non-coding RNA, 330 nt
Filed under: Lactuca sativa (garden lettuce)
Lineage: Eukaryota; Viridiplantae; Streptophyta; Magnoliopsida; Asterales; Asteraceae
Description: long non-coding RNA (LSAT_LNC007368)
Source: RNAcentral
CUCUCUGUUUGAGUUCCUCAACCAGAUCAAGUGGGGUUGUGUUCUUUGGGAAUGGACCAUAUACGUUGCUUCCAAAUGUUGAUGCUUCCUCAUCUCUUACCUACACCCCUCUCAUCAUAAACCCUGUUACUGAAAAUGGGUUUUUGGGUGACGCUUCUCCUAAAUACUUCAUAGGAGUUACAUCAAUCAAGAUCAAUGACAAACGUGUGCCAAUCAACGAAUCCUUGCUGUCCAUCGAUGCUGAAGGUUAUGGUGGGACAACUAUUAGUACUGCCGAUCCUUACACCGUCUUGGAAACUUCAAUCUACAGUGCUGUUGUCGCUGCAUUUG